RNAcentral lists this ribosomal RNA (465 nucleotides) under uncultured bacterium. RNAcentral's name for it is "partial 16S ribosomal RNA". It matches the Rfam family "Bacterial small subunit ribosomal RNA", at positions 338 to 795 of the family's 1533-position model. The record is from RNAcentral.
CCUACGGGUGGCAGCAGUGGGGAAUAUUUCGCAAUGGGCGAAAGCCUGACGCAGCGACGCCGCGUGAGGGAUUGAGGUCUUCGGAUCGUAAACCUCUGUCAGCAGGGAAGAACGGUCACUGUGCUAAUCAGCAGUGAAUUGACGGUACCUGCAAAGGAAGCACCGGCUAACUCCGUGCCAGCAGCCGCGGUAAUACGGAGGGUGCGAGCGUUAAACGGAAUUACUGGGCGUAAAGCGCUCGUAGGCGGUAUGUCAAGUCAAGGGUGAAAUCCCCGCGCUCAACGUGGGAACUGCCUUUGAAACUGGCAAACUGGAGUGUGUGAGAGGAUAGUGGAAUUCCAGGUGUAGGAGUGAAAUGCGUAGAUAUCGGGAGGAACAUCAGUGGCGAAGGCGACUAUCUGGCACAUAACUGACGCUGAGGAGCGAAAGCGUGGGUAGCAAACAGGAUUAGAUACCCUAGUAGUC